GGUCACAUACCUAUUUGAACUUGCGUUCAGGCCUAUGCGUUUGAACUUGGUAUUCAAGCACUUAACCAUAAGGCUUAAUCUAACUUUCACCUGUGUACCCCACCGGUGUGUGGUUUUUUCAAGUAUCCAGAAUACGUAAUUGCCAUUUCAUUGAUGCACUAACAGUAUUUAUCAAGCACUAGAGACAUACCCCUGAUGAAGUCUUAGAGUAAGACGAAACGCGUCGGGUUAUUUGUUCAUAAACAUCAAAUCUCCGAAUUGUCAAAGGAGAAGGAGGAAUCUAUCAAAGUUAUUUCAACUGGUCCUCUGUACUAUAUGGUGUUAUCUGCAAGAAGAGAUACUAUACCGUUUUGUAUCAUUGCUUUUAUGUUGUAAUAAAUUUUACAUGGAACAUGUUAAAUGUGGUUUUAUGCUCACGAAUUAGGAGUAAAUAUCUUAGGGAGACUGCUGUUUUUCCCCAUUGAAUAUUGGGUGGAAAAACAACCCAAGUGCGCCCAUUCCUCUACUGGCACAUAUUUGUAUCUUUUUAGUCCCUCCUAACAAGGGACUUAGUGGAAUUUGGCAGCCUUAACCCAAUCCUUUCUCACUUUCUGUUUAAUAGCGCAAAAGGGAGAGUAUCUGUUUUGUCUAUAUUUCGUUGCUGUUAGUUACUCCCCAUUGCUGCUAGGUGAUAUGCCUUUAUUUAAUGAUCGGAAAAGUAGGAGUCAGAAAUGUAAAACCAUUUUUUUAGAGGAUAUGCAAGACAUGGAACAAACGGAGGAUGAUAAUGAUGAGUAUU
This is a long non-coding RNA of Pseudophryne corroboree (corroboree frog), 778 nucleotides long. RefSeq lists it as uncharacterized. The transcript is spliced from 3 exons. The record is from RefSeq and is a predicted model, not a curated record. NCBI's taxonomy places the organism in Eukaryota, Metazoa, Chordata, Amphibia, Anura, Myobatrachidae.